UACGGGGGGAGCAAGCGUUGUUCGGAUUUACUGGGCGUAAAGGGCGCGUAGGCGGUCGUGACAAGUCACUUGUGAAAUCUCCGGGCUUAACUCGGAACGGUCAGAUGAUACUGCUUUGCUCGAGUGCGGAAGGGGCAAUCGGAAUUCUUGGUGUAGCGGUGAAAUGCGUAGAUAUCAAGAGGAACACCUGCGGCGAAGGCGGGUUGCUGGGCCGACACUGACGCUGAGGCGCGAAAGCCAGGGGAGCGAACGGG
This 254-nucleotide ribosomal RNA is filed under the name uncultured bacterium. Its description in RNAcentral is "partial 16S ribosomal RNA". It matches the Rfam family "Bacterial small subunit ribosomal RNA", at positions 524 to 776 of the family's 1533-position model. The record is from RNAcentral.